GAUGAACGCUGGCGGCGUGCCUAACACAUGCAAGUCGAGCGAUUCUCUUCGGAGAAGAGCGGCGGACGGGUGAGUAACGCGUGGGUAACCUGCCCUGUACACACGGAUAACAUACCGAAAGGUAUGCUAAUACGAGAUAAUAUACUUUUAUCGCAUGGUAGAAGUAUCAAAGCUCCGGCGGUACAGGAUGGACCCGCGUCUGAUUAGCUAGUUGGUAAGGUAACGGCUUACCAAGGCGACGAUCAGUAGCCGACCUGAGAGGGUGAUCGGCCACAUUGGAACUGAGACACGGUCCAA
RNAcentral lists this ribosomal RNA (297 nucleotides) under uncultured bacterium. RNAcentral's name for it is "partial 16S ribosomal RNA". It matches the Rfam family "Bacterial small subunit ribosomal RNA", at positions 28 to 334 of the family's 1533-position model. The record is from RNAcentral.